This 495-nucleotide ribosomal RNA is filed under the name uncultured bacterium. Its description in RNAcentral is "partial 16S ribosomal RNA". It matches the Rfam family "Bacterial small subunit ribosomal RNA", at positions 28 to 505 of the family's 1533-position model. The record is from RNAcentral.
GAUGAACGCUGGCGGCGUGCCUAAUACAUGCAAGUCGAGCGAACAGACGAGGAGCUUGCUCCUCUGACGUUAGCGGCGGACGGGUGAGUAACACGUGGAUAACCUACCUAUAAGACUGGGAUAACUUCGGGAAACCGGAGCUAAUACCGGAUAAUAUAUUGAACCGCAUGGUUCAAUAGUGAAAGACGGUUUUGCUGUCACUUAUAGAUGGAUCCGCGCCGCAUUAGCUAGUUGGUAAGGUAACGGCUUACCAAGGCAACGAUGCGUAGCCGACCUGAGAGGGUGAUCGGCCACACUGGAACUGAGACACGGUCCAGACUCCUACGGGAGGCAGCAGUAGGGAAUCUUCCGCAAUGGGCGAAAGCCUGACGGAGCAACGCCGCGUGAGUGAUGAAGGUCGUCGGAUCGUAAAACUCUGUUAUUAGGGAAGAACAAAUGUGUAAGUAACUAUGCACGUCGUGACGGUACCUAAUCAGAAAGCCACGGCUAACUACG